RNAcentral lists this ribosomal RNA (450 nucleotides) under uncultured bacterium. RNAcentral's name for it is "bacterial SSU rRNA". It matches the Rfam family "Bacterial small subunit ribosomal RNA", at positions 354 to 796 of the family's 1533-position model. The record is from RNAcentral.
GUGGGGAAUAUUGGACAAUGGGCGAAAGCCUGAUCCAGCCAUGCCGCGUGUGUGAAGAAGGUCUUCGGAUUGUAAAGCACUUUAAGUUGGGAGGAAGGGCAGUAAGUUAAUACCUUGCUGUUUUGACGUUACCGACAGAAUAAGCACCGGCUAACUUCGUGCCAGCAGCCGCGGUAAUACGAAGGGUGCAAGCGUUAAUCGGAAUUACUGGGCGUAAAGCGCGCGUAGGUGGUUUUGUAAGUUGGAGGUGAAAUCCCCGGGCUCAAUCUGGGAACUGCCUCCAAAACUGCAUGACUAGAGUACGGUAGAGGGUAGUGGAAUUUCCUGUGUAGCGGUGAAAUGCGUAGAUAUAGGAAGGAACACCAGUGGCGAAGGCGACUACCUGGACUGAUACUGACACUGAGGUGCGAAAGCGUGGGGAGCAAACAGGAUUAGAAACCCCGGUAGUCC